This 459-nucleotide long non-coding RNA is filed under the name Nicotiana tabacum (common tobacco). Its description in RNAcentral is "long non-coding RNA (NTAB_LNC012227)". Lineage: Eukaryota; Viridiplantae; Streptophyta; Magnoliopsida; Solanales; Solanaceae. The record is from RNAcentral.
GUUUCUUUCAUUGCUCUUCCUUGUUCUCCAGGUGGACGCCUGAUUGCUAAUACUUCCAUUACUCAUCCUUGUUCUCCAGGUGCACGCCUGACUUCUAAUACUUCCGUUGCUCUUCUUUGUUCUCCAGGUGGACGCCUGAUUGCUGGGGAUAAUACCACUGGGGGAGUCUCCUUUCUUUCCCUCCUUCAAAUUCAAUUUUUUUUUGUUGUUUUUUUUCUUAACACUGCUGGGGAUAAAAGUGUUAUCUUCUUGAGAUAACUUUGUUGAGGAUAACGUUGCUGGGGAAUUUUAUCCCUUCGAAUCGAUGCUUCAUUCUUCUGGAAGCUGCUGGGGAGGAUAAUGGCUCUUUGCUUUUCUGAGCACAAAUGUCAUCUCUUUGUUCUGUCUGUUGGGGAUCAACUUCCUCCAUUGGAAGCUUAUUAUGUUGGGGGAAACCCUGGUUCAAAGACCACUUCCUUG